AGAAUUUGUCUAGCAGGUUUUCUGGUCUUUACCAGAAAACCCUU
This 44-nucleotide small nuclear RNA is filed under the name Chlorocebus sabaeus (green monkey). RNAcentral's name for it is "U7 small nuclear RNA". It matches the Rfam family "U7 small nuclear RNA", at positions 19 to 62 of the family's 62-position model. From Rfam's summary of the family: Animal histone pre-mRNAs are spliced by a different mechanism than nuclear pre-mRNAs and self-splicing introns. This processing involves the U7 snRNP, which contains only one RNA species: U7. The 5' end of U7 RNA is thought to base-pair to a conserved spacer element downstream of the cleavage site in histone pre-mRNA. The record is from Rfam by way of RNAcentral. Lineage: Eukaryota; Metazoa; Chordata; Mammalia; Primates; Cercopithecidae.